GCAGGCCCUACCAAUUGCAAGUUCGAGCGGUAGCACAGAGAGCUUGCUCUCGGGUGACGAGCGGCGGACGGGUGAGUAAUGUCUGGGAAACUGCCUGAUGGAGGGGGAUAACUACUGGAAACGGUAGCUAAUACCGCAUAACGUCGCAAGACCAAAGUGGGGGACCUUCGGGCCUCAUGCCAUCAGAUGUGCCCAGAUGGGAUUAGCUAGUAGGUGGGGUAACGGCUCACCUAGGCGACGAUCCCUAGCUGGUCUGAGAGGAUGACCAGCCACACUGGAACUGAGACACGGUCCAGACUCCUACGGGAGGCAGCAGUGGGGAAUAUUGCACAAUGGGCGCAAGCCUGAUGAUGCAG
Molecule: ribosomal RNA, 356 nt
Filed under: Klebsiella pneumoniae
Lineage: Bacteria; Pseudomonadati; Pseudomonadota; Gammaproteobacteria; Enterobacterales; Enterobacteriaceae
Description: bacterial SSU rRNA
Rfam family: Bacterial small subunit ribosomal RNA
Source: RNAcentral